RNAcentral lists this unclassified non-coding RNA (572 nucleotides) under Hevea brasiliensis (rubber tree). Lineage: Eukaryota; Viridiplantae; Streptophyta; Magnoliopsida; Malpighiales; Euphorbiaceae. The record is from RNAcentral.
UUAUUCAUCAUCAGCCCAGUCCUCUUCCUUAAAUGGCAAGACCCUAAAAACAAACUAAAAGUACAUGCCACCACCCUUCUUUUCAUGUCUCCUCUCCUCAUCAACUCCUCUACCCCCUAUGACCAUCACCGACAGAGACUCAGGCCACUUUACGAUGCUGGCGAAGCAACUAAUCAAUCCAGCAAGUUCAGACACGAAAGAAGAUGGGAUUAACGGUGGCUUUAAGCAGCUUCACGAUGGGUUCUACGGGGAGGAUUAACAAACGCCAAUAGCAAGCUAAAAGCCAUCUCCGGCCGUCGGAAAUGCGAUUCCAUCUUUUGAUUUUUUUGGACACGGCCUUGAAACGUGUCAUGGGCGCUUCAUACCAUUUCCGUCUUGUAAACGUUUCCAAAAUGGGGAAGUGCUAGUGAUUGGAGUUUUUGUAAUUCAUAGUGGAUUUUCAUUAACAAUUUAUAUAUUGAACUCCUGAAGAUCAAUUAAUGGUUGCUCCACCUGAGCAACAGCCUUUAUGGUAACAACAGAUGGAAUGACUGCAUUAGGCUGCUUAUCAGGAGUGUUAGUUAUUCACAACU